This 74-nucleotide transfer RNA is filed under the name Parcubacteria group bacterium. RNAcentral describes it as "tRNA-Met". It matches the Rfam family "tRNA". From Rfam's summary of the family: Transfer RNA (tRNA) molecules are approximately 80 nucleotides in length. Their secondary structure includes four short double-helical elements and three loops (D, anti-codon, and T loops). Further hydrogen bonds mediate the characteristic L-shaped molecular structure. tRNAs have two regions of fundamental functional importance: the anti-codon, which is responsible for specific mRNA codon recognition, and the 3' end, to which the tRNAs corresponding amino acid is attached (by aminoacyl-tRNA synthetases). tRNAs cope with the degeneracy of the genetic code in two manners: having more than one tRNA (with a specific anti-codon) for a particular amino acid; and 'wobble' base-pairing, i.e. permitting non-standard base-pairing at the 3rd anti-codon position. The record is from RNAcentral.
GGCAGGAUAGCUCAGUUGGUAAGAGCGAAGCACUCAUAACGCUUAGGUCGUGGGUUCAAUUCCCACUCCUGCCA